RNAcentral lists this ribosomal RNA (207 nucleotides) under uncultured bacterium. Its description in RNAcentral is "partial 16S ribosomal RNA". It matches the Rfam family "Bacterial small subunit ribosomal RNA", at positions 568 to 774 of the family's 1533-position model. The record is from RNAcentral.
CGUGUAGGCGGAGCAGCAAGUCAGAAGUGAAAUCUCCGGGCUUAACCCGGAAACUGCUUUUGAAACUGUUGCCCUUGAGUAUCGGAGAGGCGGGCGGAAUUCCUUGUGUAGCGGUGAAAUGCGUAGAUAUAAGGAAGAACACCAGUGGCGAAGGAGGCCUGCUGGACGACAACUGACGCUGAGGCGCGAAAGCGUGGGGAGCAAACA